UUGAUGCUCAUAUCAAUCACUUGAUUGUCUGGUCCAGAGUCUGUUAUUCACAGACUGCUGUCAUAUAGCUGGGACAUUGCUGAGUGCAGCAUUAAACAAACAAAGCAUAUCAUUGUAUCACGAUGGCAUGGAAUUUUUAUCAUGAAGUCAACCACUGGUUAUUUUGUUAGAUUCCCCAAACUGUUAUUCUGUAAAUUUUCCCAAACUGUUAUUCGAUUCAUGUUAAUGUCAAUAAUGCCCAAGAAAUGUCAACAAGGAUGACGACUAUUCCCCUUGAGUUAAACCUUUGGUUUUCUCGGUGAAAGCUUCAGCUUUGUCUGAGUUGACAGGGCGAAAACAGAACAGAAAAAGUUUGUGAAUACAAGCCUUUCAUACUUGGCCAACUCACUGGAAGUGGAAAGCAAUGUAAGAGUUAAUAUUUUUUAGAGGCUGCAUUAGCACUAAUACAAGCAUGUUUGGUGGAUGCUUCAGUUUUUUAAUUGAAGUAAGAAAAAAACAUAUUUGAUCUUUUAAGUGCUGGUUAUCCAUAGUCAUGAACGCAUGUGGAAUUAUAAGAUCAAAGGUCAAGGUCAGACUCAAAAUGCUGCCUGAUAGGUCAAGGUCACGUCAUUAAAAAAAAAGAUUUCAUCACCAAAUUUGUAUGUUGGUUAAAUUUCAAGAUCCUGGCUAAGGUUAUUGUAAAUGAGUGAAUGGUCAAUGUCGUCAGUGCCAAAGGUCAGUGUCAUCAGUGCCAAAGGUCAAUGUUGUCAGUGCCAAAGGUCAAUGUCGUCAGUGCCAAAGGUCAGUGUCAUCAGUGCCAAAGGUCAAUGUUGUCAGUGCCAAAGGUCAAUGUCGUCAGUGCCAAAGGUCAAUGUCGUCAGUGCCAAAGGAAAACCUUGUCAGUUCCAAAGGUCAAUGUCGUCAGUUCCAAAGGUCAAUGUCGUCAGUUCCAAAGGUCAAAUUCAUUUUUACAAUGUGCUGUCCCCCAGCUAAGUAAAGAAUCCAACUGCUUGAUCUAGUGUUUGACGUUUGGACACUGAGUGUGAAUGAACGCAAUGAAUGGAGCCUCGCCUGAAGGGUAACAAGACUGGAAUACAACUUUCAAACUUUAGGGUUCUAUAAACAUGCUAAAAACAAAAAGAUUCAAGAAGACCAUAGUAUAAAUAUUUGAGAAUAGCGUGCCCAAGAAAUGUCAACAGGGAUGACGACUAUUCCCCUUGAGUUAAACCUUUGGUUUUCUCGGUGACAGCUUCAGCUUUGUCUGAGUUGACAGGGCGAAAUCAGAA
Molecule: long non-coding RNA, 1265 nt
Organism: Haliotis rufescens (red abalone)
Lineage: Eukaryota; Metazoa; Mollusca; Gastropoda; Lepetellida; Haliotidae
Exons: 2
Source: RefSeq, a predicted model, not a curated record